Molecule: long non-coding RNA, 158 nt
Organism: Chenopodium quinoa (quinoa)
Lineage: Eukaryota; Viridiplantae; Streptophyta; Magnoliopsida; Caryophyllales; Amaranthaceae
Exons: 3
Source: RefSeq, a predicted model, not a curated record
CGUUUUGAGGCUGUCAUUUUGAGUAUAAGGGAGCCGAAGACAAAAGCCCUAGUAUUUGCUUCUGGAAAGUUGAUUUGCACCGGAGCUAAGAGUGAGAAGAACUCAAAACUAGCUGCUCGUAAGUAUGCUCGAAUCAUUCAGAAGCUGGGAUUUCCUGC